CAGCAGCCGCGGUAACACGUAGGGUGCGAGCGUUAAUCGGAAUUACUGGGCGUAAAGCGUGCGUAGGCGGUUUGUUAAGUCUGCUGUGAAAUCCCCGGGCUCAACCUGGGAAUGGCAGUGGAUACUGGCAAGCUAGAGUGUGUCAGAGGAUGGUGGAAUUCCCGGUGUAGCGGUGAAAUGCGUAGAGAUCGGGAGGAACAUCAGUGGCGAAGGCGGCCAUCUGGGACAACACUGACGCUGAGGCACGAAAGCGUGGGGAGCAAACAGGAUUAGAUACCCCCGUAGUCCCUGUCUCUUAUAC
Molecule: ribosomal RNA, 301 nt
Filed under: uncultured bacterium
Lineage: Bacteria
Description: partial 16S ribosomal RNA
Rfam family: Bacterial small subunit ribosomal RNA
Source: RNAcentral